CUUGACCGUGCCGAGCCGGAGCGGGUGCCGUGGAUCACGGUCCUGGCCAUAGGUGGCGAGCAGGGCGCCCGCCUC
Molecule: antisense RNA, 75 nt
Filed under: Streptomyces sp. MnatMP-M17
Lineage: Bacteria; Bacillati; Actinomycetota; Actinomycetes; Kitasatosporales; Streptomycetaceae
Description: ASpks TB sRNA
Rfam family: ASpks TB sRNA
Source: Rfam by way of RNAcentral